This 417-nucleotide ribosomal RNA is filed under the name Triticum aestivum (bread wheat). RNAcentral's name for it is "partial small subunit ribosomal RNA". The record is from RNAcentral. Lineage: Eukaryota; Viridiplantae; Streptophyta; Magnoliopsida; Poales; Poaceae.
AUGUUUCUACUUCACGAAUAUGAUAUUUUUUGGACAUUUCUAAUAAUAGCAAGCCUUAUUCCUAUUUUGGCAUUUUCUAUUUCAAGGCUUUUAGCACCGGUUAGUGAAGGACCAGAGAAGCUUUCUAAUUAUGAAUCAGGUAUAGAAUGCAUGGGAGGUGCUUGGGUACAAUUCUGAAUAUGAUAUUCUAUGUUUGUGACAACAAAGAAUCGUCGACACGAACAAGUCAAAUUUGAUGGAUUAUGUCUCCUAUAUGUCAACUCACCACACAUGCCACCUCAUCAAUUAUUAUUUUCCUCUUUCUUAAUUGCAUGCUUCACCCAACUAGCAUACUUAAUGCACAUGCAACAAUGCAUGCAUGGAAAAAUAGCUACCUCAAUAUACAAUCAUGCAUGGACCGAUAUUUUUACAUUGUAG